AUUGAACGCUGGCGGCAUGCUUUACACAUGCAAGUCGAACGGUAACAGCACUUCGGUGGCUGACGAGUGGCGAACGGGUGAGUAAUACAUCGGAACGUGCCUAGUAGUGGGGGAUAACUACUCGAAAGAGUAGCUAAUACCGCAUGAGAUCUAAGGAUGAAAGCAGGGGACCUUCGGGCCUUGCGCUACUAGAGCGGCUGAUGGCAGAUUAGGUAGUUGGUGGGAUAAAAGCUUACCAAGCCGACGAUCUGUAGCUGGUCUGAGAGGACGACCGGCCACACUGGGACUGAGACACGGCCCAGACUCCGACGGGAGGCAGCAGUGGGGAAUUUUGGGCAAUGGGCGCAAGCCUGAUCCAGCAAUGCCGCGUGCAGGAUGAAGGCCUUCGGGUUGUAAACUGCUUUUGUACGGAACGAAAAGCCCUCUUCUAAUACAGGAGGGUCAUGAAGGUACCGUAAGAAUAAGCACCGGCUAACUACGUG
Molecule: ribosomal RNA, 482 nt
Filed under: uncultured bacterium
Lineage: Bacteria
Description: partial 16S ribosomal RNA
Rfam family: Bacterial small subunit ribosomal RNA
Source: RNAcentral